CAGUAGCCGCGGUAACACGAAGGGGGCUAGCGUUGUUCGGAAUUACGGGGCGUAAAGCGCACGUAGGCGGAUACUUAAGUUAGGGGUGAAAUCCCAGGGCUCAACCCUGGAACUGCCUUUAAUACUGGGUAUCUUGAGUUCGAGAGAGGUAAGUGGAAUUCCGAGUGUAGAGGUGAAAUUCGUAGAUAUUCGGAAGAACACCAGUGGCGAAGGCGGCCCGCUGGACAAGUGUUGACGCUGAGGUGCGAAAGCGUGGGGAGCAAACAGGAUUAGAUACCCGCGUAGUCCCUGUCUCUUAUAC
Molecule: ribosomal RNA, 301 nt
Filed under: uncultured bacterium
Lineage: Bacteria
Description: partial 16S ribosomal RNA
Rfam family: Bacterial small subunit ribosomal RNA
Source: RNAcentral